UGACGUCAAGUCCUCAUGGCCUUUAUGUCCAGGGCUACACACGUGCUACAAUGGGUUGUACAAAGGGUUGCGAACUCGCGAGAGUAAGCCAAUCCCAAAAAGCAACUCUUAGUUCGGAUUGGAGUCUGCAACUCGACUCCAUGAAGCUGGAAUCGCUAGUAAUCGUGGAUCAGCAUGCCACGGUGAAUACGUUCCCGGGCCUU
RNAcentral lists this ribosomal RNA (203 nucleotides) under uncultured Desulfobacteraceae bacterium. RNAcentral describes it as "partial 16S ribosomal RNA". It matches the Rfam family "Bacterial small subunit ribosomal RNA", at positions 1180 to 1382 of the family's 1533-position model. Lineage: Bacteria; Pseudomonadati; Thermodesulfobacteriota; Desulfobacteria; Desulfobacterales; Desulfobacteraceae. The record is from RNAcentral.